CUGGUGAGCGCAUCGUAGCCGCACACAGAGGACAAAACGCCACACACAGUCAGAGACAUGCUUAUUUUGGUUCUCAUUUUGUACUGGGGCAUCAACGUCACGUGUACACAUGGAUUGUAGCGUAAAUAAGUGCCCCUUACGGUGCUACCAAUUGUGGCUUGUAUCUAUUCAAAUAAACACUACAGCCGUGGUUAUGCAAAUACAGAUUGAAGAGAUCUGCACUCCACUGUGGGCAUCGGUUUAGGUUUUCAUAUUGACCCUUCUCUGUGGCCGCCUCUUUUCCCACCAAUAAGGACGUUGGUGUUGAGAUCAGCUCUGAUUGAUUAUCUUAUUUGAAAUUGGUCUUAUUUGUGAGAUGCUCAGAUCCUGAUUGUCUUUAUGUAGAUUUGCGCUACAGGAGACACAAAAAGUAGAGGCCAAAGGGUCAGUCACACAUCAGCACCCAAAACACCUGCUGAUUACAAUGGGUGAUGCUUCCCGAGAUGAUGUCACACUCCGGGUGUUUGGUUCCAAACUGCAUCGGCACGCGCACGUGUGUGUGUGUCUGUAAGCGCAUAUAUGUAACCUGAGUGCAGCUAUGCAACCAGAGAGACGUGACAGCACCAGAUAAGGUGAACACACAGCUCUCUGACCCUGUCUCUGGGUUUACCUGCAUCUUCCUCUCUCUCUCUCUGUCGCACACUUGCACACACACACACACACACCGCCAAACACACCCUGUCCUCCUCUCCCUGAUAUGUCUGAUCUAUAAACCUGCAGCUGCGAUAAGCAUGUAAAUAAUACCUGGCGCCUCGUGUCUAACUUCUGCAGUAGAACCAGUCAACUCCUUCCUCCCCCUCUCUGCCCUUUCGGUCCCUCCAAAUAAAUGUUUAGUCAUAAUGCCUCCCAAAGCAAAUAAAAAAACAUUUUUAUUCUCUCAAUAUUCAGUGGAAACUCUGAAAGAUCUCUCUUUCAAUGAUUCCACGAGUGGAAAAACCUUACGCUUUUAGCUUUGAGUCAAUGUUCCCUCCUCAUGCAUCAAUUCUGCUCUCGUGAUUUGAAUACAAGAAAUUUGUUUAAAAUCCAGACGGUUGUAAAGACAUCGAGUUACACAUGUGACAGAGAGUGAGGUCAUUGUGUUAAUAGGCAAACACCAUAUUUCACUUAUGGCAAACACAAUCUUGAACAUAUGUGUAUGUUAUUGUAUAGGUGUAUCUAUUGUGAUUUGAAUAGAGAUUUUUCAUUAUAUUUGAUUUGGGGAAAACUAAUUUAAAAACUGAAAAACGGUGAGCUCCGCGUUGUUUUUCUCAGUUUCUGAAAUUUUGCAAUUUUUAAGUAUAUCAGUGGAAAUCAGUGUGGUGUUUGUUGACGUGGACGCUGCCUCGCCGGCAGGUGAGACGAGUCCACAACAAGUGUGCGUGUCUAUCGGUCUAUGUGGUAACCAAAACAGAAGGCCUCAGCAUGUGUCCCUGCAACUGAAAGCCGAGCCAGUGUUUGGGUUGCUACAAUGACAUCAUCGGUUUCACCCUCACCUCCUCCACAUGUCAGCCUGCUCCUCCCCCCUCCACGCUGGCAGCCUGUUUAGAAACAUCUGAACAGGGAGGGGGGUAGGGCUGCCAAAUCCUGGUUCCUGGGGCAAUUCCUUGUUUUGUAUUCUGUUGUUGUCCGUGAUUAACACACACAUGCAUCAAUGUGGAUGGAUGUCGGAAUGUUGGGUUGCUAAAGUUAGCUCAAGGGCACCUCAGCAGUGACCAGGAGGUGAACUGGCAUCUCUCCAGCUACCAGAACUUCAGUUCCUUCCUGCAGACUGAGCUCCAGCUGCCUCAAUCCUUACAUUGUUACGUCACUACCUCAUGCCUCUUUUUAGUCAUUUAAACUAAUAAUUAAUAUAUUGAGCCUCUCUUUUGACUCCUCCAAUGUCUCUUAUUUCUUAUUUAACCUGAUGCUCUGAGCAAUAUUUUAAUACAGAAAAUAUAUUUGCGUAAAUGUAGUUUUUAUUUUCAUCCUUUUAUUCCAUUUGUAUAUUCUAUCCUUCAUAGUUCUGCCUGCCCUCUUUGUUCCUUCAAUCAUGCCUCAAUCCUUCCAUCAUUUUAUCUUUGCACCGAAAUCUUAGAGAGAGACACAGUUGUGUUUUAUGCCUUCAGUCUUGUUUCAGUUUGAAUUAAAAACCUCCACAUUGUCUACAAUGCCCCUGUGUCUUUUCUUUUGUUGGUGUCUUCAUUUGUUUUGCCCUUUCUCUUCUCACCUGCAUCUUCGCAAAUUAACUCCCACUGUUGUUGUGAUAAUUAUCUGCUAAAGAGGCACCGCAGGAGACAACCUGCUCUGUCAGCGGGUGACGAAGCUGCCCGUUAACAGGUGAAGGCAGAGCGAUCCCAGUGCUCACUGAUACCUUAUCAGGUGUAUGCGGUAACAUUAGGGGGCAAUAAAAGGGCUCUGUGUUUGCAACCAGCGAUGCGGUGAAAAAAAAGCUCUACUUAGGGACACAUUUCAUUUAUUCAAUUUUUCCAAUAUAAAGGUGACAGACGGACGUGUGGGGAAAGUUUUUGCACAUUUACAGCAGCUUGGAUGUACCAGAGAAGGUGUCAGGCUUCUGUGGAGGAACAGCAUUACCUCAUCCUUUGAAUAGCGCAGGACAGAUGGACCUGGUGUGUGUGUGUGUGUGUGUGUGUGUGUGUGUGUGUGUGUGUGUGUGUGUGUGUGUGUGUGUAUGUGUGUGUGUGUGUGUGUGUGUGUGUGUGCUUCUGACAGCCCAACAAAUCCCUGUUAUGAUAAGUAGAGUCAACAUAGUGUGGUGGAAUGUGCAUCUGCAGCACAUCACGUCGGUUCACACAUGGCCUCAGUUCUCUUGCUACACCAGCAACAUUUUGGUCUUUUGAAUAGAGAUAUAUACUCACAAAUACUCUUAAUAACGCACAUCUAGUUGCUGGUGUUUUCUGGUGAGAUGUAAAAACAGGUCAAAAAUACAUUGCUAAAUUUAUUUAGCAACGUGUGGGAGAUGUUAGUCAUCAUUUUCAUCAACAGAGAAAAAGAGAAGUAAUAUGUGUACACACACACACGCACACACUCACACACGCACAUAUAUUAUAUUAUAUGAAACACAAAGUUAUAUGAAAAGACAUAACGUACAAUAUAAUACAAUAAAAUGACAAUAUGGGCAUGCUUCAAGGUGUCGGUGUAGGUAUCAGAUAUCGGAAGACCAGUCAACCUUAUGGCUUUUGAUGGUGUUGUAUCAAUGGAUUAGAGGUUGUAUGUUUAAGUUAAAUAACUGUACUAACAAACCAAAUGAAUGCAUUGGAAAGUAACUGUGAAUAACU
Molecule: long non-coding RNA, 3293 nt
Organism: Gasterosteus aculeatus aculeatus (three-spined stickleback)
Lineage: Eukaryota; Metazoa; Chordata; Actinopteri; Perciformes; Gasterosteidae
Source: Ensembl